GAAGAAGAGGAAGAAGAAGAUGAACAAACACAAGUUGAAGAAGUUAAGGAAGCGCCUAAGGAGGAAGACUUAGUGUAUCUGACACUGUGUCAUCGAUCAUUUUGAAGGUAGAAGCUGCUUGUGGACUGCUGUGUUUUUAUUAUGGUUUCCUUAAGAAAUAUUUGAUACUCUCCUCAUAUGUUGGAUAAAACAAAGAGCAAUGACAUAAGUGUUUCAUGGUAAC
RNAcentral lists this unclassified non-coding RNA (223 nucleotides) under Hevea brasiliensis (rubber tree). The record is from RNAcentral. Lineage: Eukaryota; Viridiplantae; Streptophyta; Magnoliopsida; Malpighiales; Euphorbiaceae.